Long non-coding RNA from Sinocyclocheilus anshuiensis, 1378 nucleotides. RefSeq lists it as uncharacterized. The transcript has 3 exons. Lineage: Eukaryota; Metazoa; Chordata; Actinopteri; Cypriniformes; Cyprinidae. The record is from RefSeq and is a predicted model, not a curated record.
UUUAGAAAAAAUUGAAGGACGUCUCAAGAAAUGGAAAUGGAUCUUACCACACAUGUCUUUUAAGGGUCAUGUAUUAGUGAUUAACAACCUAGUGUCUUCUAUGUUGUGGCAUCGCCUGAUGUGUGUAGAUCCUCCGCCACAGCUGCUGGCAAAAAUACAAGCAGUUUUAGUCAACUUUUUCUGGGAUCAUUUACAUUGGGUCCCACAAUGUCUUUUGUUUUUGCCAAAGGAAGAAGGAGGUCAAGGACUCAUUCAUCUCGCUAGUAGAGGUGCUACUUUCAGACACCAAUUUAUAAAAUGACUUCUGUUUGGAGCAGAAAACCUUGUCUGGAGACCUUUGGCCCAUACUAUAUUGAGACAAGGUGGUAAUUUGGGCCUAGCUCAUUCGUUGUUUUUAAUGGAUCUGAAGACUCACAAACUAUGUUUUAUCAUGAUCUUCCUAAGUUUUAUCAUGGGUUGCUUACUGUGUGGGGGAUGUUCCAGAAAUGGAGGACAAGCAGUGAUUCACUGUUUUGGGUGUUGAAAGAGCCAGUGCUGUAUGGGACACGAUUCAACAUAGAGCACUUAGCUGGGUCUUUUAUGACAGCGUUUCAUUUCAGCGGGGAUUGUUACUUUGAAACAUGUCUUUGAUCUAACUGGGCCAAACUUGUUUAAUGCUGAAAAACUGGCGUCUCAUAUAGGAGUCCGAUCUAUCAGGAUUGUAAAUCAUUUGCUCAACAAUUGGAAAUGUGAACUCGCACAGACUGAACUCUCCUUAUGUAAUGAAUAUUGUAAUUGACAUUGUCAACCUAACAGUAAUGAUAUCUUCCCUUCAUUAAUUCUUGCUCCUGAUUUUAAAAACUGCACUGGUCCAUUGCUAGAGUUAAAUGGAACUCUCACAAACAAUGUUGUCACAAUGACAGGUAAAUCCAUGUAUAAGUCUUUUGUCAAGAUUUUAAAUAAAGACAAACUGAAUACUCGAGCUGAUACUCCCUGGAGAGCUCAUUUUGGGCUUGACAAUGAAGUCAAGCCUGUGUGGAGAGCUCUAUAUAAAUCACCGUUAACAAAAAAAGUCGGGGAUUUACAAUGGAGAGUGUUACAUGGAAUUGUGGCUGUCAAUGCUUUUAUUUCUGUUAUUAAUUCUAAUGUAAAUGAAAAUAGUCCAUUCUGUUCGCAAAGGGAAACAGUGUUUCAUUGUUUUUCAGAGUGUAGCAGACUUUGUAAUGUUUUUACAUUGUUGCAACAACUGUUUAUAAUGUUUGGAGAAGUGUUUACUAAAGAUAUGUUUAUUCUUGGAUAUAGAUACAGUCAAAAAAUGCAGACAGAAAUGUCAGCUUUUUAAUUUUGUUUUAGGUCAAGCAAAAAUGGCUAUUUAUAUUAGCAGGAGAAAAAAGGUAGA